GUGUCAGCCGCCGCGGUAAUACGUAGGGUCCAAGCGUUAAUCGGAAUUACUGGGCGUAAAGCGUGCGCAGGCGGUUAUACAAGACAGGCGUGAAAUCCCCGGGCUUAACCUGGGAAUGGCGCCUGUGACUGUAUAGCUAGAGUGUGUCAGAGGGGGGUAGAAUUCCACGUGUAGCAGUGAAAUGCGUAGAUAUGGGGAGGAAUACCAAUGGCGAAGGCAGCCCCCUGGGACAACACUGACGCUCAUGCACGAAAGCGUGGGGAGCAAACAGGAUUAGAAACCCUUGUAGUCC
This 292-nucleotide ribosomal RNA is filed under the name uncultured Polynucleobacter sp. RNAcentral describes it as "partial 16S ribosomal RNA". It matches the Rfam family "Bacterial small subunit ribosomal RNA", at positions 505 to 796 of the family's 1533-position model. Lineage: Bacteria; Pseudomonadati; Pseudomonadota; Betaproteobacteria; Burkholderiales; Burkholderiaceae. The record is from RNAcentral.